GAUGAACGCUGGCGGCGUGCCUAACACAUGCAAGUCGAGCGAUUCUCUUCGGAGAAGAGCGGCGGACGGUGAGUAACGCGUGGGUAACCUGCCCUGUACACACGGAUAACAUACCGAAAGGUAUGCUAAUACGAGAUAAUAUACUUUAUCGCAUGGUAGAAGUAUCAAAGCUUUUGCGGUACAGGAUGGACCCGCGUCUGAUUAGCUAGUUGGUAAGUAACGGCUUACCAAGGCGACGAUCAGUAGCCGACCUGAGAGGGUGAUCGGCCACAUUGGAACUGAGACUACGGUCCAAACUCCUACGGGAGGCAGCAGUGGGGAAUAUUGCACAAUGGGCGAAAGCCUGAUGCAGCAAACGUCCGCGUGAGCGAUGAAGGCC
Molecule: ribosomal RNA, 379 nt
Filed under: uncultured bacterium
Lineage: Bacteria
Description: bacterial SSU rRNA
Rfam family: Bacterial small subunit ribosomal RNA
Source: RNAcentral